UCCUCCGUGGCGCAACUGGUUAGCGCGUCUGACUGUUAAUUUGCAAAGAAUUGCAAUCAGGAGGUUGACAGUUCAAGCCUGUCCGGGGGAG
Molecule: non-coding RNA, 91 nt
Organism: Hypoxylon trugodes
Lineage: Eukaryota; Fungi; Ascomycota; Sordariomycetes; Xylariales; Hypoxylaceae
Source: the annotation of a RefSeq genome assembly